Molecule: ribosomal RNA, 481 nt
Filed under: uncultured bacterium
Lineage: Bacteria
Description: partial 16S ribosomal RNA
Rfam family: Bacterial small subunit ribosomal RNA
Source: RNAcentral
UUGAACGCUGGCGGCAUGCUUUACACAUGCAAGUCGAACGGUAACAGGCCGCAAGGUGCUGACGAGUGGCGACCGGGUGAGUAAUGCAUCGGAACGUGCCCAGUCGUGGGGGAUAACUACUCGAAAGAGUAGCUAAUACCGCAUACGAUCUAUGGAUGAAAGCGGGGGACCGUAAGGCCUCGCGCGAUUGGAGCGGCCGAUGUCAGAUUAGGUAGUUGGUGGGGUAAAGGCUCACCAAGCCAACGAUCUGUAGCUGGUCUGAGAGGACGACCAGCCACACUGGGACUGAGACACGGCCCAGACUCCUACGGGAGGCAGCAGUGGGGAAUUUUGGACAAUGGGCGCAAGCCUGAUCCAGCAAUGCCGCGUGCAGGAAGAAGGCCUUCGGGUUGUAAACUGCUUUUGUACGGAACGAAACGGCUCUGGUUAAUACCCGGGGCUAAUGACGGUACCGUAAGAAUAAGCACCGGCUAACUACGUG